CCUUGCCAGCCCGCUCAGAACUUAAUGAAUUGACGGGGCCGCACAAGCGGAGGAGCAUGUGGUUAAUUCGAUGAUACGCGAGGAACCUUACCUGGGCUCGAACGUAAGAUGACUGUAGGUGAAAGCUUACAUCUCUUCGGAGCAUUUUACGAGGUGCUGCAUGGUUGUCGUCAGCUCGUGCCGUGAGGUGUCGGGUUAAGUCCCAUAACGAGCGCAACCCCUACCUUUAGUUGCCAUCAGGUUAAGCUGGGGACUCUAAAGGAACUGCCUACGCAAGUAGUGAGGAAGGCGGGGAUGACGUCAAAUCAGCACGGCCCUUACGUCCAGGGCUACACACGUGCUACAAUGGCCGAUACAGAGGGCAGCUACCUGGUGACAGGAUGCAAAUCUCCAAAGUCGGUCUCAGUUCGGAUCGGAGUCUGCAACCCGACUCCGUGAAGUUGGAUUCGCUAGUAAUCGCGCAUCAGCCAUGGCGCGGUGAAUACGUUCCCGGGCCUU
RNAcentral lists this ribosomal RNA (498 nucleotides) under uncultured Sphingobacteriales bacterium. Its description in RNAcentral is "bacterial SSU rRNA". It matches the Rfam family "Bacterial small subunit ribosomal RNA", at positions 904 to 1382 of the family's 1533-position model. The record is from RNAcentral. Lineage: Bacteria; Pseudomonadati; Bacteroidota; Sphingobacteriia; Sphingobacteriales.